Molecule: transfer RNA, 93 nt
Filed under: marine sediment metagenome
Rfam family: tRNA
About the family: Transfer RNA (tRNA) molecules are approximately 80 nucleotides in length. Their secondary structure includes four short double-helical elements and three loops (D, anti-codon, and T loops).
Source: RNAcentral
GGGCUCAUGGUGUAGCUUGGUUAGAGUCUUUCGAGACGACAAACAUCGGAGCUUUGGGAGCUUCAGACCCCAGUUCAAAUCUGGGUGGGCCCA